UCGGGAAUUUUGGGCAAUGGGCGAAAGCCUGACCCAGCAACGCCGCGUGAGGGAUGAAGUAUUUCGGUAUGUAAACCUCGAAAGAAUGGGAAGAAUAAAUGACGGUACCAUUUAUAAGCUCCGGCUAACUACGUGCCAGCAGCCGCGGUAAUACGUAGGGAGCAAGCGUUGUUCGGAUUUACUGGGCGUAAAGGGCGCGUAGGCGGCGCGGUAAGUCACUUGUGAAAUCUCUGAGCUUAACUCAGAACGGCCAAGUGAUACUGCUGUGCUAGAGUGCGGAAGAGGCAACCGGAAUUCUUGGUGUAGCGGUGAAAUGCGUAGAUACCAAGAGGAACACCUGAGGCGAAGGCGGGUUGCUGGGCCGACACUGACGCUGAUGCGCGAAAGCCAGGGGAGCAAACG
Molecule: ribosomal RNA, 402 nt
Filed under: uncultured bacterium
Lineage: Bacteria
Description: bacterial SSU rRNA
Rfam family: Bacterial small subunit ribosomal RNA
Source: RNAcentral